CAGCCGCCGCGGUAAUACGAAGGGUGCAAGCGUUACUCGGAAUUACUGGGCGUAAAGCGUGCGUAGGUGGUGGUUUAAGUCCGUUGUGAAAGCCCUGGGCUCAACCUGGGAAUUGCAGUGGAUACUGGGUCACUAGAGUGUGGUAGAGGAUAGUGGAAUUUCCGGUGUAGCAGUGAAAUGCGUAGAGAUCGGAAGGAACAUCUGUGGCGAAGGCACUCUGCUGGGCCGACACUGACACUGAGAGACGAAAGCUAGGGGAGCAAAUGGGAUUAGAUACCCGGGUAGUCCCUGUCUCUUAUAC
Molecule: ribosomal RNA, 301 nt
Filed under: uncultured bacterium
Lineage: Bacteria
Description: partial 16S ribosomal RNA
Rfam family: Bacterial small subunit ribosomal RNA
Source: RNAcentral